This 261-nucleotide long non-coding RNA is filed under the name Ananas comosus (pineapple). RNAcentral's name for it is "long non-coding RNA (ACOM_LNC017557)". The record is from RNAcentral. Lineage: Eukaryota; Viridiplantae; Streptophyta; Magnoliopsida; Poales; Bromeliaceae.
CUAGCUGAUUUUGUUUGCUUAAAGGGACCAGCAUUUUGUCCUGCGACGGGAGAUCAUGGUAGGUCGAGUUAUAUUCGAAAUAGCGUGAAGCUGAUUAGACCGAAUCACAAUCGAGAUCCGUGGGCGCUGUGGCUCUACUCGAGAUCCGCGGGCGCUGUCGCUCUACGCUUUGAAUGAAUUGGUUGCGUAUUUCUAGCGGCUCGAACUUUUGGAAUUAAUGGUUAGCGUCAACGAUUCAGCAUACUAUAGCUUUCAAAAAAU